RNAcentral lists this ribosomal RNA (497 nucleotides) under uncultured bacterium. RNAcentral describes it as "partial 16S ribosomal RNA". It matches the Rfam family "Bacterial small subunit ribosomal RNA", at positions 28 to 507 of the family's 1533-position model. The record is from RNAcentral.
GAUGAACGCUGGCGGCGUGCCUAAUACAUGCAAGUCGAGCGAACAGACGAGGAGCUUGCUCCUCUUACGUUAGCGGCGGACGGGUGAGUAACACGUGGAUAACCUACCUAUAAGACUGGGAUAACUUCGGGAAACCGGAGCUAAUACCGGCUAACAUGUUGAACCGCAUGGUUCAACAGUGAAUAACGGUCUUGCUGUCGCUUAUAGAUGGAUCCGCGCCGCAUUAGCUAGUUGGUAAGAUAACGGCUUACCAAGGCAACGAUGCGUAGCCGACCUGAGAGGGUGAUAGGCCACACUGGAACUGAGCCACGGUCCAGACUCCUACGGGAGGCAGCAGUAGGGAAUCUUCCGCAAUGGGCGAAAGCCUGACGGAGCAACGCCGCGUGAGUGAAGAAGGUCUUCGGAUCGUAAAACUCUGUUAUUAGGGAAGAACAAAUGUGUAAGUAACUAUGCACGUCUUGACGGUACCUAAUCAGAAAGCCACGGCUAACUACGUG